Molecule: long non-coding RNA, 302 nt
Filed under: Fukomys damarensis (Damara mole-rat)
Lineage: Eukaryota; Metazoa; Chordata; Mammalia; Rodentia; Bathyergidae
Description: lncRNA (ENSFDAG00000024336.1)
Source: RNAcentral
UGUUGGCCACAGCUCUAGGUGCACAAGCUACAGCCAGAGCCGCAGCACACGGAGCCACCUGCCCGUGGAGGAGCCUGUGUCACAACGAACAUACGCAGAUGCACUUCCACAACGUAGAUGCUCUGAUUAUUACUAAAGUGGAGGAGAGACCGGCGAUGACCCAAGUCUUUGAAAACCUGCCUAAUGCCCUGGCUGUCUGGAAUUCUGCCCAGCUUGCUUCAGGGAGAAGAGCACCCUACCCCACACCACCAUAGCUGGGUCCCUUCUCCUGAAAUAAAUUUUAUUUCAAGCCACCUACCACC